UGCAUUCACUACUGUAAGUCGCUCUGGAUAAGAGCGUCUGCUAAAUGACUGCAG
Salmo salar (Atlantic salmon) is the source of this 54-nucleotide non-coding RNA. NCBI's taxonomy places the organism in Eukaryota, Metazoa, Chordata, Actinopteri, Salmoniformes, Salmonidae. The record is from Rfam.